Molecule: ribosomal RNA, 253 nt
Filed under: uncultured bacterium
Lineage: Bacteria
Description: partial 16S ribosomal RNA
Rfam family: Bacterial small subunit ribosomal RNA
Source: RNAcentral
UACAGAGGGGGCAAGCGUUGUUCGGAAUUACUGGGCGUAAAGGGCGCGUAGGCGGCCUGCUAAGUCGAACGUGAAAUCCCUGGGCUCAACCCAGGAACUGCGUCCGAUACUGGUUGGCUUGAAUCCGGGAGAGGGAUGUGGAAUUCCAGGUGUAGCGGUGAAAUGCGCAGAUAUCGGGAGGAACACCAGUAGCGAAGGCGACUCGCUGGGCCGUUCCUGACGCUGAGACGCGAAAGCUAGGGGAGCGAACAGG